UACGUAGGGUGCAAGCGUUAAUCGGAAUUACUGGGCGUAAAGCGUGCGCAGGCGGUUCUAUAAGACAGGUGUGAAAUCCCCGGGCUCAACCUGGGAACUGCAUUUGUGACUGUAGAGCUGGAGUACGGCAGAGGGGGAUGGAAUUCCGCGUGUAGCAGUGAAAUGCGUAGAUAUGCGGAGGAACACCGAUGGUGAAGGCAAUCCCCUGGGCCUGUACUGACGCUCAUGCACGAAAGCGUGGGGAGCAAACAGG
RNAcentral lists this ribosomal RNA (253 nucleotides) under uncultured bacterium. RNAcentral describes it as "partial 16S ribosomal RNA". It matches the Rfam family "Bacterial small subunit ribosomal RNA", at positions 524 to 776 of the family's 1533-position model. The record is from RNAcentral.